RNAcentral lists this ribosomal RNA (253 nucleotides) under uncultured Gammaproteobacteria bacterium. RNAcentral's name for it is "partial 16S ribosomal RNA". It matches the Rfam family "Bacterial small subunit ribosomal RNA", at positions 524 to 776 of the family's 1533-position model. Lineage: Bacteria; Pseudomonadati; Pseudomonadota; Gammaproteobacteria. The record is from RNAcentral.
UACAGAGGGUGCAAGCGUUAAUCGGAAUUACUGGGCGUAAAGCGCGCGUAGGUGGCUGAGUAAGAUGGGUGUGAAAUCCCCGGGCUUAACCUGGGAACUGCAUCCAUAACUGCUCGGCUAGAGUACGGUAGAGGGUAGUGGAAUUUCCUGUGUAGCGGUGAAAUGCGUAGAUAUAGGAAGGAACACCAGUGGCGAAGGCGACUACCUGGACUGAUACUGACACUGAGGUGCGAAAGCGUGGGGAGCAAACAGG